UGACCCUUCAAAGAAAAAUUUUCGAUCUUACUCAAUUAUAGGAGAUCUAUUUGGCUUAACAUGGUGGUGACCUUGACCUGUUGACAUGUAUCUUUGAGAAACGACGAGACUUAACAGAGCCGUUGGGAUGUCGACAAAUUUGGUCUUGGCUAUUGAAAGAUACUUUUGUGUUCACUGCUCGCGGGCAACUACUUUAUAGUCAAUGAAUGAAAUUAAUCCACUUAUUCUUGUUAUGAGUUAGGAGGUAUUGUUUAAAAGCCAGCUAUUAUUCAAAAAUAUUUAGUUGUGGGAAUUAUUAAGACCCAUGUCAUUUGGACAAAUCGGUGUUCAAUUAUGUAUACCUAAUUAUCUAUAAAAUAAUCAGAUAAAAGUCGGGGUGAAAGUACUUAUGUUUUAUUUCAUCGACAACAACAGUAACGGCAAGUUCAACACUAGCGCGAGGGCAAAAUGGAUGGAGACAAAAAAAUUUGAGAAGGUUGAUACGUGUAAUUGGGCAUUGAGACAUUGUUUACAGAAAAUACGAUGAGAAAGGUUUAGAGCGAAAGCAAGUCAAGUUCAAAAGCGAUUCUCAACGAAAGCAUUGCGCCAACAUUUCAAAAUAUCAUUACAGUGAAAAAAUAGUGUCUACCAGAAAAAGCCAUUUGUCAGUGCGUUCAUACCGCACGAUAUCCAAGCGUAUGAAAGCCAACAUUGAAGAUCAUCGAUCGAUCACAUUAAGUUGGUACGGGAACGCCACAAACCAGAUGUUGUAGAACAUCAUCCUGACCUUAAACAAUGGUUCCAUGUCUACAUUAACAGGAAUAAUGACUAACAUCAAACAUACAAUUAAAAGUGUUAAUAUAUGCUUGAUCAUUUCACAAGUUCUUCGUGUAUGGAUGGUAUGACGACAUUCCUUAUGAAAAGUGGACGAUAACAAAAUUAAAAAGCUAUAUAAGCUCAAAAUUGCCAUUUUGCAUGAAUCCUUUCGAAGAAAUUAUCAACUGGUUUAAAGCGUGAUCUACCAAAGCCAAGCCAAUACUGUGUCAUCCUUAUAUUUAACUACGACAAGUACUAAUGAAUUAAUUAUACUAAUAUUGACCUUACCUGCUAAAGGAAAUCGUUAUUGUCCGACCGUUUGGAUACGUGCUUCAUAUGACAAAUUUGUGCAGAUAUCAAAGCAAUUCGUGUGUUUUAUUGAUGUAUAAAAAGACUUUCACUCUUUCUAUUUA
Molecule: long non-coding RNA, 1208 nt
Organism: Xenia sp. Carnegie-2017
Lineage: Eukaryota; Metazoa; Cnidaria; Anthozoa; Malacalcyonacea; Xeniidae
Exons: 2
Source: RefSeq, a predicted model, not a curated record